RNAcentral lists this ribosomal RNA (253 nucleotides) under uncultured bacterium. Its description in RNAcentral is "partial 16S ribosomal RNA". It matches the Rfam family "Bacterial small subunit ribosomal RNA", at positions 524 to 776 of the family's 1533-position model. The record is from RNAcentral.
UACGGGGGGGGCAAGCGUUGUUCGGAAUUACUGGGCGUAAAGAGCUCGUAGGUGGUUUGUCGCGUUGUUCGUGAAAACUCACAACUCAAUUGUGGGCGUGCGGGCGAUACGGGCAGACUGGAGUACUGCAGGGGAGACUGGAAUUCCUGGUGUAGCGGUGGAAUGCGCAGAUAUCAGGAGGAACACCGGUGGCGAAGGCGGGUCUCUGGGCAGUAACUGACGCUGAGGAGCGAAAGCGUGGGGAGCAAACAGG